RNAcentral lists this long non-coding RNA (798 nucleotides) under Zea mays. RNAcentral describes it as "uncharacterized LOC100276989, transcript variant 2 (LOC100276989)". Lineage: Eukaryota; Viridiplantae; Streptophyta; Magnoliopsida; Poales; Poaceae. The record is from RNAcentral.
CUCCCAAGUCCAAGCCAUUCUUGUUCCUUCUCUGCUCGUUCUCAUGGCCGAGCUCCCCACGUCCGCCGCUCCUCCCUGGCGCCCUCACCUCCAUUGGAGCUCGCCCCUGUUGAGCUCACCUGUGCUCGUCGGCUGCCCUGCAGUUCCCCCAUGGACGCCUCCUUUCUAAUCUGUGUGCAGGGGUUUCCUUCCCAUGGUCGCCCUCAACCCCAUGGUCGACCUCGCCUAGCCCUUCCCCCAUCUCUUCCCCAAGCUCGGUUCGGCAUGGAGGCUGGCCACAGGACGCAGCACACCAACCUCACCGGCCAUACCCUCUGCUUUUCCCCACUGUCCGCAGCCCCGAUGUCGUCGUCGUGAUUAGACAUGGUACGUUCAUUGAUCACGUAUUGUGGAGGACAACAACAACUGGAAUAAUCUCAAAGUGGGAUUGAUGAAUGAACCCAAAGCUGAAUGAUCUGAUCGUACUGGAAUGGGAGGUGCUCGCCAAGCGAGUAUCAUCUAACAACACUGACUUAGUGUUUAUCCCAGGUUAUAAUUUUGUUCUGUUGUGGAUGCUGCUAAGUGCCGGUGGGCUCGGCCUUCUUAUAUAAGUAUAUCCCAUCUUUAGCUUCUUUAUUGAGGAUUGUCACUUAAGCUAGCAUGUAUUUUAAAACUUAUAAAUGUUUUAUACAUUCAAAUUGUAAUCUUUUGAAUCAAUUUCUUUUGUAACCAACUCCGAUGAUAUAUAUUGUAAUCUUGCUAUAACUUGUAAAUGUUGUAACUUGUAACCAUUUUGUAAUAAAUAAUUUAUUUCCGCUG